Molecule: ribosomal RNA, 245 nt
Filed under: Ilyonectria panacis
Lineage: Eukaryota; Fungi; Ascomycota; Sordariomycetes; Hypocreales; Nectriaceae
Description: partial large subunit ribosomal RNA
Rfam family: Eukaryotic large subunit ribosomal RNA
Source: RNAcentral
CGUGAAAUUGUUGAAAGGGAAGCGCUCAUGACCAGACUUGGGCUUGGUUGAUCAUCCAGGGUUCUCCCUGGUGCACUCUUCCAGCCCAGGCCAGCAUCAGUUCGCUAUGGGGGAUAAAGGCUUUGGGAAUGUGGCUCCUCCGGGAGUGUUAUAGCCCAUUGUGUAAUACCCUGUGGUGGACUGAGGUUCGCGCAUCUGCAAGGAUGCUGGCGUAAUGGUCAUCAGCGACCCGUCUUGAAACACGG